Long non-coding RNA from Girardinichthys multiradiatus, 889 nucleotides. RefSeq lists it as uncharacterized. The transcript is spliced from 2 exons. The record is from RefSeq and is a predicted model, not a curated record. NCBI's taxonomy places the organism in Eukaryota, Metazoa, Chordata, Actinopteri, Cyprinodontiformes, Goodeidae.
UAUGAGACUCUUGGAUCCAGUUUGAAGAGUUAUGUCUGUUUGCCUGCAAAGAGAGACGGCGCGCUGUGCCUCUCCUGUCCCAAUCCUCUAGAGACCUUGGAAUAGAUCGAAAGGGGGUGUUUUUAUACAUCCAGUGACAUCACGGGAAGUCCGCUGUUAUCCCCUUUCCUGGCUGGCUGGAAGUAGGUUAAUGUGAUUUUUUUGAAAGUUCCAGAAAAGUUCGUACCGCAUGUUGUAAUCCAUGGCUGUGGGUCCCAAUAGGCUCAUCCACAAACUACCAGAGUAUUGAGUCCUGGUGGUCCAUAUUCAUAAAGGGAAGGUGUCAGUUCUGGAUGGAGCUAAUUGCAGGCAUAGAGAUGCCGGAUACUUCAACAGGAGUCAAGAGCAUCAGUGUCUGCGGAGAUAUUGCUUUGCUGAUGUUGUUCAGAGGGACUUGGAUGAGUGUGUGGACUGUGGAACAGUCCAAGGAUACGCCCCUCCAGAACAGCAUCAUGUCCAGGAGAAGUGCCCACUGAGCUCUACUAUAGGCAUAACUUUGCUGAUAGAAUUUGUUUUAAAUAAAUGUAAUCAAAUCUUUUGUUUAUCAUAGGUUUGGCUUCAGAGAUUGUGGAUUUAACAUUGAACAGUAUGAACUGGAUGCCUUUCCUAUGGUUCACCUGACAAGAGGAACACUUAGACUUGGAGCACAAUCAUUAACAGAAACCAAUCUUGUCAAUCUUCAACUGAACUGUAUCUGGAACUAAACAAAUUGCUCACCUAUGAAUUGAAGGAUUAUUGUAAUGGUGGAGGAACAUGUACAAAAAAUGUCUGAAACAUGUACACUAUUUGUCACACAGCUUCAAUAUUUAUACGUGUGAAAUAAAUGAAUAAAAAUAAUGUAUGAAACACA